Molecule: ribosomal RNA, 462 nt
Filed under: uncultured bacterium
Lineage: Bacteria
Description: partial 16S ribosomal RNA
Rfam family: Bacterial small subunit ribosomal RNA
Source: RNAcentral
GAUGAACGCUGGCGGUAUGCCUUACACAUUCAAGUCGUCCGGAAAUCAAAUUUAUUUGAUUUUAGUGGCGGACGGGUGAGUAACACGUGAGAAUUUGCCUUUAGGAGGGGGACAACAUUUCGAAAGAUUUGCUAGAACCCCAUAUGCACUCGGGUGAAACAGAGUAAUCUGCCUAAAGAGAAGCUCGCGCCUGGUUAGCUAGAUGGUAGGGUAAUGGCCUACAAAGGCGACGACCAGUAGCUGGGCUGAGAGGAAGAUCAGCCACACUGGAACUGAGACACGGUCCAGACUCCUACGGGAGGCAGAAGUGAGGAAUUUUCUGCAAUGGGCGAAAGCCUGACAGAGCAAUACCGCGUGAGGGAUGAAGGCUUACUGAGUUGUAAACCUCUUUUUUCAAGGAAGAAGAUCUGACGUUACUUGAAGAAUAAGCAUCGGCUAACUCCGUGCCAGCCGCCGCUGUAA